Helianthus annuus (common sunflower) is the source of this 2789-nucleotide long non-coding RNA. RefSeq lists it as uncharacterized. The transcript is spliced from 4 exons. Lineage: Eukaryota; Viridiplantae; Streptophyta; Magnoliopsida; Asterales; Asteraceae. The record is from RefSeq and is a predicted model, not a curated record.
AUACAUCUCCUAUGUCUAAAAAGGUAAUUUCCUUUAAAAUUUUAAGAUGGCAGACAAAUGGUCUUAGGUUCUUCCCUAAAAGCAUGACCCUUUCUCCCAGUUUUGCCCCUAAAUCAAUGUUUUCACUACAAAGAAAUAAACCAGCCGAUUGAUCUCCUUCAGAAAUAUAACAAAUAUAACGGCUGUCAUCAAUCAUGUUCAUCAUGGCCAUUAAAAGCUUCGACUAAACUAUUUGAUAUUAAACCCACGCCUCCAUCUCUAGCCUUUUUAUCUUACACCAACACACAUAUCAGAGAGAGGAGAGGUGAGGAGAGCAGGGGAGACGGACGCCUAAUCAAAUAUGCCCAUUCGUUUCGGAUCCCCACUCCUGACUUGAAUGGAAAUUAGGUCUACUUUGCGAGUCGACAUAUAUAUAGAUAUAUACAUUUCGUCUUCACCGAAUCCAUAGAGAUUGAGAAACAGGUAGCGGUGGCGGUUGUGCUGGUCGUCCAUCAAUUCAAGGUAAGCAAGAAUCAAUUAUCACUAUACAUAGCAGCAAAUUCAUAUAUAUUAAUAAUGAUAGGGGCAAGCGAAUUCAUAGAACUCAGUAGUUGAAAUCAUUCUUCAAUUAGCAAUCAGGAUCAUACAUCAUCGAUGGGAUUUAUUGUCAGGUUUUUCGUGUUUCUAUUUCCCGUGUCAUCGUAAUUUUGAUCGAUCUUCAAUUUAUUUACAUUCUAUUUGUUAAUAAUGAUACGUAUUGGUUAGAUCUGAUAUACUAAAUUAAAAUUUUGACAUUCAGAGUUUAUUGUUCUUGGGUGCAAAUUUAUGUUCAGUUUUCUUAUAUUGAUUGUUAAAGAUAGAACUUUUUCACUAGAGUUGUAUUUGGCUUUCCAUAUUAGAAGCUUUCUGAUUUUUAAAUGUUCUUUAUAUUUGUUAAUUUUGAAUGAAGUGAACUUAAUCUUGUUGAUGGGGUUGUUAAAGUUGGAACUCCAACUGUAAGUUGAAACGUGAAAGUUACUACCUGUUUUUGAAUUUGUAUGUAUGUAUAGUCAUUGUUAUAAGUGUUGAAUGGUGGUGCAGGCUGAUAUAUGCUGGGAAACAGCUUGCAUAUGACAAAACAGCGAAGGGGACUUCUGAUGCCAGGUUCGAAGUUAGGGUUUCAAAUGAUUCAAUCAAACGGUUUCCUAAUCUUCAAAGAUUGGUUUGUCAUAUAAAAAAAUGGAAGCACUUUUAUAUAUGUCGGCUAUAAGCAACUAACUUUUCUGGUAUCAAUCAACAGAAGCUGCAGCAGGUACACUGGUCUCUAUUAUGGUGAACCAUAUGUUUUUUUUUUUUUUUUUGCAUUAAGGAUACUGGUUAGUCAAUUCACACAAUCUAUGUAGCCCGUCUUUUGGUUUGAGGAUUUUUUUUUCUCUAUCAGAUAUUUUUAUUGUAAUGGUGGGGCUUUUAAUUAUGUGUUAGCUGGAUAUAAUAUAGAGGUGGCAAAAUGGGAAGGUUGGCCGGUUGGGUAAUGGGUCAAAAAAGGUUUUAAGUCAAAAGUGAGUUGUGUUCAAUUGACCUAAAAUUCUUUUUAUUGGCGAUUUUUACAGUUCUUUCAUUAUAUAGUUUGUAAAUGAAAUGAUUUGAGGGGGCUUUAUGCAUUAAAAAAUACAUUUUGGGUGACUCACCAGUUUUCUAAGCUUAGGCUUUAUUUUGGAAAAAAGAUGGGUUAUUUGUAAACACUUUUUUCCGUUGGCUUGAUGAAAUCGAUUAUCUUAUGUAGAUGUGCAAAAUGGACAAGUCGGGUGGGUUGAGGCUUGGGGUAACAGGCCUAGCUGGGAUUGGGUCAAAACGGGUCGAAUUGGGUUGACAUGUAGCACUCUCAUCCAAUAUUUUACUUCUUUUUAAAUACUUAGUAUGCAUGACUACCAAGUUGUAACUUCUAACUUAUUUUGGUAAACGGUAAUAACUUGAUCUUUUUAACGUAUGAAAUUUUAUAGGUAGAAUUUAAAAUACACUUUUGGUUAUUUUUGUCCUUCUUGACCAUUAGAUCCAUUAUAGAAAUAAGCCAACUCAAGUCGAUCCAUUAUCGUUUUAAGUAUCGAAAGACUAACGGUAAGAUGCAAAUCAAGUAAUGGGUCAAACCAAGUCUGGGUCGAUAUUUUGAGCAUGAUGUGUGACAUGAUGAUACAGGCACUUUUACAAGUGGUGGAGUGCUGGCGAGAUAAGCACCGUGAUGGAGGGAUAUACCGUUGUUUAUCUGUUGUACGCACAUGCUCGAAUAUGCUCAAUUAUUUCUGGUAAAGACAUUGAGGAAUUGAAAAAGGGAGGCACGAAUAAUAUUGUAUAAAGAUGAAGAACACAAGUUGGGAUUACAUUUGCUUCUGUUUACCGAGGUUGUCGAGAGGCAUGCAUAAAUCUUUUUACCAAAUGUGAUGUGUGAAUUUUAUUAGAGAAGUUUACAAGUUUUUACUCCGAGUGCCAGGUAUACAUAUACUUCUAUACGUAUUCUUCUAAGAGACUUUACAGCAAUUACCAUGAGAGACUUUGCCUAACAUUUAAUUCGUGGGUUUUGGGUUUAGUCUAAACAGAUUCGUGUUAGUUUCAAGUCGAUCCCGCGAACAUGUUUAGCUAGACGGGUUGGUUUGGGUCAACCAGCCGUGUUUUCCGGGUUGGUAGAGUGUAAUAGUUUUUUAUUUUCUAUUGUAUGUUUUAUACAGAAUAAUUUAUGAUGCGAAUUUGUAUGGAUCCUUCUAUAGCUCUAGAGAUACUGAGAUUGUUUGUAGCGCAACUUCAUUUUGCUUGUUUUAUGUAUUACAUUUUAAAACCUA